UCAGUUCAUCUAUUAUCUGGCAGCACAUGAGAUUGACGAGGUGGUGGGUGAUAACUUCUGAAACCGUAUUAAGGAUUUAAGAAAGACGUCUUUAUCGUUAGCUACUUAAGUUUUUUUUUUUUUUAAAUAACUGUUGUUUAAUUUUAAUGUGUUGUUGUUAAGUUAAUUAAGACUUAUUAUUCAUAAUAACUUAAUAACAAAUAAUGUCAUAUAAUUUAAUAUAUUACUCUGCUAUCUUUUAGAUUGCUCUACC
Molecule: long non-coding RNA, 253 nt
Filed under: Capsella rubella
Lineage: Eukaryota; Viridiplantae; Streptophyta; Magnoliopsida; Brassicales; Brassicaceae
Description: long non-coding RNA (CRUB_LNC002579)
Source: RNAcentral